ACCAGAUGUGUUUGCAUACACAGCAAUGGUAAAGAUAUUGGUUGCAGAGCGGAACUUGGAUGGUUGUUCAAAGGUUUGGAAGGAGAUGCAGCAGGAUGCAGUUGAACCUGAUGUUAUAGCUUAUUCAACUUUUAUUGCUGGUUUGUGUAAAAAUAAUCAGGUCGACAAAGGCUAUGAGUUGUUCAAGGAAAUGAAACAAAAGAAAAUUUUGAUAGAUAGGGGGAUUUAUGGAUCCUUGAUUGAAUCGUUUGUAGCAAGCGGGAAAGUUGGUUUAGCUUGUGAUUUGCUUAAAGAUCUGAUAGACUCGGGCUAUAGG
RNAcentral lists this unclassified non-coding RNA (316 nucleotides) under Hevea brasiliensis (rubber tree). The record is from RNAcentral. Lineage: Eukaryota; Viridiplantae; Streptophyta; Magnoliopsida; Malpighiales; Euphorbiaceae.